RNAcentral lists this ribosomal RNA (777 nucleotides) under Aphelenchoides sp. 8Asp. Its description in RNAcentral is "eukaryotic LSU rRNA". It matches the Rfam family "Eukaryotic large subunit ribosomal RNA", at positions 344 to 964 of the family's 3401-position model. The record is from RNAcentral. Lineage: Eukaryota; Metazoa; Nematoda; Chromadorea; Rhabditida; Aphelenchoididae.
ACAAGUACCGUGAGGGAAAGUUGAAAAGCACUUUGAAAAGAGAGUGAAAGAGAACGUGAAACCGUUAUAGUGGAAGCGGAUGGAGCCGACGUAUUAGUGCGUAUUCAGCCUUAAUCAGAUGCAAUCCCUUUGUAAGUAUUAGGUUAACUUUACUUGUAUGGGGUUGUUGUGUUUGUUUUUGGUGCACUUGCGUACAUAGUGCGCCGAAUCAAUCGAAUUCGUUGUUUGAAGCGAACGAAGAGGACUCUGCUUCGGUAGAGAAACCUGAGUUGGUGGAUGGCAAAUGAGUCUGGUUGCAAAAAGAGGCUGGUUUUUCGCGUCAAUUUGAUAGGAUUUGGCUUGUUUAAGUACGACACAUGUGUUUUGCUUCUAUGAGUUAGGUCUUGUUAGGUCGGUGCUCUGCCUCAAUUCGGUGUCUAGUCGGUCAUCCAUUUGACCCGUCUUGAAACACGGACCAAGGAGUUUAAGGUGUACGCAAGUCAUUGGACGUUCAAAAUUCAAAGGCGUAAUGAAAGUGGGACAUUUAGUGUCUGCAGUGUGACAGUUGGUUGAUUCGUUGACCUAUUGGCAACACUGACCCAUGACUGGAAUUUAUUCUGUUGUGGAGUCUGAGCGUAUGCUUUGAGACCCGAAAGAUGGUGAACUAUGCCUGAACAGGACGAAGUCGAGUGAAAACUCGAUGGAAGUCCGAAGCGGUACUGACGUGCAAAUCGAUCGUCUGAUUUGGGUAUAGGGGCGCAAGACUAAUCGAACCAUCUAGUAGCUGGUUCCUUCCGA